This 68-nucleotide transfer RNA is filed under the name Parantropora penelope. Its description in RNAcentral is "tRNA-Arg". The record is from RNAcentral. Lineage: Eukaryota; Metazoa; Bryozoa; Gymnolaemata; Cheilostomatida; Antroporidae.
AAAAGGUUAAUAUAAGUUCCAGUAUGUUUGAUUUCGAAUCAGGCAGUGCUAUGUUUUAGCACCUUUUU